Molecule: long non-coding RNA, 1228 nt
Filed under: Physcomitrium patens
Lineage: Eukaryota; Viridiplantae; Streptophyta; Bryopsida; Funariales; Funariaceae
Description: long non-coding RNA (PPAT_LNC009082)
Source: RNAcentral
UACUUGGAUAUUGAAUAUAAUUGGAACACAAUAAUUUUUGUUCGAAGAUUGUUCUUGCUGACGGUUGUAGGUUGCAACUUGCUCGGAGCAGUAUGGCAAAGCAAGUCUGAUGCAUUGCAUUUCUGUAUACUCCAUUCUCGUCCAUCGUUAAAACUGGUAAACUGUGUACAACUGAAUGCAUGUUCAAAAUCACAUAUGCGAUAUUCCAAAAUAUAAAAUCUCAAUGAAUUUGAAAAAAUUAUUGCUGUUGAAUUUCGGAAUGCUGGAGAAUCACACCUCUGAACUGUAUUAGGAGAAUCCUAUUGGUAUUAAAUGGCGAUGUUUGAAUUCAACCGAGAUCUCUUGCAGCCUUGCCAGUCUUGCUUAGCAGGUAUUCAGCAGCUGUGGACUGGUGAGAUGAGGGAAUUCGACCAUUUUUUGUGAAUUAGGGCAGUCAACCCAUUCUCGACCACCUCCCAUUUCUGACCUAUAGGGUGGUAUAUUUCUAAUCAACUUGACAUAAUAAUAAUGAUCAGUUUUAAUACAUUAUGGUUUCACAUUACUUAAUUCACAUUUUACCUCAACUCCAGAUGCAGAAGAAAUUAUAGUCCAUGGCACCAUUGGGUAAGAAAUGAAGAAUUUCAUGCUAACUCAAAAACUUUGGCUCAAAUCAAGUAUUCUUGAUUUUGUAAUCAACCACUCAUUGGAAUUAGAUUGGUUUAUAUGUUGGAUUUGUAUCAAAUAGAAUCUUGAGCUUAAAUAUUAACAUUAAUUUUGUAUCUGGGCAAAAUGAUGGAAAAACACCUAAAAUCCUUUUGAUUUCUAUUUCUUUAUAUAAGGAAUUUUUUAAAUUUUUCAUACAUAUAUUGCAGAUAUGCUAAAAUGCUUAAGUUAUUGGAAAUAGAUCAACUACUUUAUGUGGAACCUUUCAUCACAUGUUUCAAACAAAGUUGCUGCUGAUGGCUAGAGCUGAUGGCUAGAGCCCAUGAGAUUGCUUGUCUGCAAUGGGUCAAGUCUUGCAGUUAUUGACAUUCAUGUUUACCAGCUAAAAUCCUCACUAAGAUCAAUGUUCAUGAAAAUUCUUCAUAUUUAUUAAAUAAUCUUUAUUUACAAUUAAGACAUUAGCAUUAUUUGUAACUUGAUAGAGAUUUAAUUGCUGAUGUAGAAGGAGAUUUGAAAUCCAAGAUUCUACAUGACUAUUUGUAAAAAAAAAAUAUAGAACUAAUAAUUAUAGUAAUGUUUGGUCUUA